RNAcentral lists this ribosomal RNA (520 nucleotides) under uncultured Glomus. RNAcentral's name for it is "SSU rRNA". It matches the Rfam family "Eukaryotic small subunit ribosomal RNA", at positions 569 to 1090 of the family's 1831-position model. Lineage: Eukaryota; Fungi; Glomeromycota; Glomeromycetes; Glomerales; Glomeraceae. The record is from RNAcentral.
AGCAGCCGCGGUAAUUCCAGCUCCAAUAGCGUAUAUUAAAGUUGUUGCAGUUAAAAAGCUCGUAGUUGAAUUUCGGGGUUAGUAGGUUGGUCAUGCCACUGGUAUGUACUGAUCUUACUGAUUCCUCCUUCCUGAUGAACCGUAAUGCCAUUAAUUUGGUGUUGCGGGGAGACUGGACUGUUACUUUGAAAAAAUUAGAGUGUUUAAAGCAGGCUAACGCUUGAAUACAUUAGCAUGGAAUAAUGAAAUAGGACGUUCGAUCCUAUUUUGUUGGUUUCUAGGAUUGACGUAAUGAUUAAUAGGGAUAGUUGGGGGCAUUAGUAUUCAAUUGUCAGAGGUGAAAUUCUUGGAUUUAUUGAAGACUAACUACUGCGAAAGCAUUUGCCAAGGAUGUUUUCAUUAAUCAAGAACGAAAGUUAGGGGAUCGAAGACGAUCAGAUACCGUCGUAGUCUUAACCAUAAACUAUGCCGACUAGGGAUCGGAUGAUGUUAAUUUUUUAAUGACUCAUUCGGCGCUUAA